UACGAAGGGGGCUAGCGUUGCUCGGAAUCACCGGGCGUAAAGCGCACGUAGGCGGCUUUUUAAGUCAGGGGUGAAAUCCUGGAGCUCAACUCCAGAACUGCCUUUGAUACUGAGAAGCUUGAGUCCGGGAGAGGUGAGUGGAACUGCGAGUGUAGAGGUGAAAUUCGUAGAUAUUCGCAAGAACACCAGUGGCGAAGGCGGCUCACUGGCCCGGUACUGACGCUGAGGUGCGAAAGCGUGGGGAGCAAACAGG
Molecule: ribosomal RNA, 253 nt
Filed under: uncultured bacterium
Lineage: Bacteria
Description: partial 16S ribosomal RNA
Rfam family: Bacterial small subunit ribosomal RNA
Source: RNAcentral